CAUCGGCCGGGCCGCGCUGGCGGCGCCGGGCUGGCACUCCGGCGGCGGCGGGCUGGUCUCCACCGCCGCCGACUACCA
Molecule: transfer RNA, 78 nt
Filed under: Micromonospora sp. AKA38
Lineage: Bacteria; Bacillati; Actinomycetota; Actinomycetes; Micromonosporales; Micromonosporaceae
Description: tRNA-Ala
Source: RNAcentral